This 199-nucleotide unclassified non-coding RNA is filed under the name fungal sp. RNAcentral describes it as "partial internal transcribed spacer region". The stretch from base 1 to 46 matches the Rfam family "Eukaryotic small subunit ribosomal RNA", at positions 1786 to 1831 of the family's 1831-position model. Lineage: Eukaryota; Fungi. The record is from RNAcentral.
AAGUCGUAACAAGGUCUCCGUUGGUGAACCAGCGGAGGGAUCAUUAGAGAGUAUAAAACCUCCCUACCCAUGUGAACAUACCUACGUUGCCUCGGUGGCCUCGCGGCCGCCGAUGGCCCCCUAAACUCUGUUUUAUUUUGGAACUCUGAAUCUUUAAACAAAUAAGUUAAAACUUUCAACAACGGAUCUCUUGGUUCUG